RNAcentral lists this unclassified non-coding RNA (240 nucleotides) under soil metagenome. RNAcentral describes it as "partial contains 5.8S ribosomal RNA, internal transcribed spacer 2, and large subunit ribosomal RNA". The record is from RNAcentral.
AACAAGGCGUACCUGCGGACCUGCGGAGGGAUCAUUACACAACAAAAUAUGAAGGCCUGGCUUCGCGGCCGGCUGAAGUAUUUUUUUUCACCCAUGUCUUUUGCGCACUUGUUGUUUCCUGGGCGGGUUCGCCCGCCACCAGGACCAAACCAUAAACCUUUUUUUUUAUGUAGUUGCAAUCAGCGUCAGUAAAAACAAUGUAAUUAUUACAACUUUUAACAACGGAUCUCAGAUCGGAAG